GAGGUCAAACAGCAGAAAUCACAAGCUCAGCACAAGGUUAAUCCACUGUUGUUGUCAUUCAAUGUGGUUCUCGUAAAUAACUUUACAAUGUCAAGUAUCUCAAGAUUUACAGUAACGAGAACGCACUACAGGAGGACACUGGGAAGAAUGAUAUGCAUAGACAAGUGCAGCCCUUAUACAGAAAGUGUUUGGAUCUCUCCUGGAAUUCAUAUGAAACUGCCGCAUCAUAUGUUGACAACGACGACAGUGACGUUUAGUGCCAUGGCCCCAUAGUGUAGUAACAUGCUGCAGCAGAAUCCUUUUUGAAGAAAGACCACACAGGAGAUUCAUGGACGUUGUGAAGGAGGACAUCAAGAGAGCUGCUGUGACCUGUUCUUGGCAUCCUCUGGACACGUCACGAUGAAGGCGACAGCUUCCUAAAUAGAGCAGCUGAAACCAGACCUAUGCCUGAUGCAGCUUUUAAUUUUUUAGGUUUACAAGAAACCACCGAUCCAUCACAAUCCACCGUGUUAUUGCUAUACAACAAAGAUGAACAAGUCACCAGCAUCACGGGCUGACUGGCCAGACAGCUGCACUGUGCAGGUAUUUUUCCCACAUGGACAGGUUGUUUGCUGGAUUUGGGGCACAACAGCUUACAAUUUGCAUUUUAUACAUCAGAAAUCGAUGAACUAACUGAAAAGAUGCAGCAGACAGUGAAGUUAAUGUAACAUUGGAAAGACUCU
Molecule: long non-coding RNA, 722 nt
Organism: Oreochromis aureus
Lineage: Eukaryota; Metazoa; Chordata; Actinopteri; Cichliformes; Cichlidae
Exons: 3
Source: RefSeq, a predicted model, not a curated record